UACGUAGGCAGCGAGCGUUGUUCGGAGUUACUGGGCGUAAAGGGUGUGUAGGCGGUUGUUUAAGUUUGGUGUGAAAUCUCCCGGCUCAACUGUGAGGGUGCGCCGAAUACUGAAUGACUUGGAGUGCGGGAGAGGUGAGUGGAAUUCCUGGUGUAGCGGUGAAAUGCGUAGAUAUCAGGAGGAACACCGGUGGUGUAGACGGCUCACUGGACCGUAACUGACGCUGAGACACGAAAGCGUGGGUAGCAAACAGG
RNAcentral lists this ribosomal RNA (254 nucleotides) under uncultured bacterium. Its description in RNAcentral is "partial 16S ribosomal RNA". It matches the Rfam family "Bacterial small subunit ribosomal RNA", at positions 524 to 776 of the family's 1533-position model. The record is from RNAcentral.